Heterocephalus glaber (naked mole-rat) is the source of this 338-nucleotide long non-coding RNA. Lineage: Eukaryota; Metazoa; Chordata; Mammalia; Rodentia; Bathyergidae. The record is from Ensembl.
CAGAAAUGCUAUCAAAGAAGAUGGCACUAAUUUAUUUAAAAGAAAGGAAGAAAAAAGAAAGCAGAGGAAGAAAAUGGUUUCGGAUAUGCCUAUUAUGUCCUGCUGGACCAGGAAGAGACAUGAAAUCCUGGAAAGGUACACACCACACAAGCUGUCUCUACAACUAAUUACUACCUGGAAGCUGAUGUUUAUGAUCCCCACACAUUUUUUAUGCUUUUAUUAAAUCUUUUAAUGUUCAAAAUGUUUUUAAACAUUAACUCUGUAUUGUAUAUUUUAUAGAUUCUCCUGCAACAUUUUUUCUUUUUUUGCUUGAACUAUGAUUGUUAGAUUCAUUGUAC